CGAGCGCUGGCGGCGUGCUUAACACAUGCAAGUCGAGCGAUGAAGCACCUUCGGGUGUGGAUUAGCGGCGAACGGGUGAGGAACACGUGAGAAAUCUGCCUUCAACACUGGGAUAACUCCGGGAAGCCGGGGCUAAUACCGGAUAUGAAACCUGCGGGCAUCCGCGGGUUUGGAAAGUUUUUCGGUUGAAGAUGAUCUCGCGGCCUAUCAGCUUGUUGGUGAGGUAAUGGCUCACCAAGGCGACGACGGGUAGCCGGCCUGAGAGGGCGACCGGCCACACUGGGACUGAGACACGGCCCAGACUCCUACGGGAGGCAGCAGUGGGGAAUAUUGGGCAAUGGAGGAAACUCUGACCCAGCGACGCCGCGUGCGGGAUGAAGGCCUUCGGGUUGUAAACCGCUUUCAGUAGGGAAGAAGCGAAAGUGACGGUACCUACAGAAGAAGCACCGGCUAACUAUGUGCCAGCAGCCGCGGUAAUCUGAUGGCGCGAGG
Molecule: ribosomal RNA, 492 nt
Filed under: uncultured bacterium
Lineage: Bacteria
Description: bacterial SSU rRNA
Rfam family: Bacterial small subunit ribosomal RNA
Source: RNAcentral